RNAcentral lists this ribosomal RNA (293 nucleotides) under uncultured bacterium. Its description in RNAcentral is "partial 16S ribosomal RNA". It matches the Rfam family "Bacterial small subunit ribosomal RNA", at positions 505 to 796 of the family's 1533-position model. The record is from RNAcentral.
GUGCCAGCAGCCGCGGUAAUACGUAGGGGGCGAGCGUUGUCCGGAUUUAUUGGGCGUAAAGAGCUCGUAGGCGGUUUGGCAAGUCGGGUGUGAAAACUCCGGGCUCAACUCGGAGACGCCACUCGAUACUGCUAUGACUCGAGUCCGGUAGGGGAGUGCGGAAUUCCUGGUGUAGCGGUGAAAUGCGCAGAUAUCAGGAGGAACACCGGUGGCGAAGGCGGCACUCUGGGCCGGUACUGACGCUGAGGAGCGAAAGCGUGGGGAGCGAACAGGAUUAGAUACCCCUGUAGUCC